This 582-nucleotide long non-coding RNA is filed under the name Mytilus galloprovincialis (Mediterranean mussel). The record is from RNAcentral. Lineage: Eukaryota; Metazoa; Mollusca; Bivalvia; Mytilida; Mytilidae.
AUAGAUUCGAAGGCAAGUAUUUUCUUUCUUAAUUGCCUUCCAACUUUGUCUCAAUUUAAAAAGUUUCAGCUCAUUUUGUAUUGUCUUUAUAAAGGGUUUGUGAUUAAUUGAUUGUUGGUUGCUUAACGUUCAUUGGCAAAUAUUUCAUGUAUGUUGGAUGGGUACUUAUUACUACUCUACGGAAGUACCAGUUGUUGUUUCAGGGAGAAUGGGGGAUAGGAUUAAAUUUUUAAAAGACAGGACAGGCGUUUUGAGUUAAGAAAAGGCAGAAUGAGCAACUUGGCAAAAAAAAAAAAAAAACCUAAAAUUUAACUUGCGUUACUAUGUAUAUAUUAUCAAUCUAGAAUCGAAUGAACUGGUAUAACCCUCAGCCCCUUUUUCUAGACCACCCACUCCUGCGCGCUUACACCUUUUAUGUCUUAUGACAGGUUUUAGCCAGCAAUAAUAUCACACAAGCAAUUGUCGUAUAGGAUGUUACUUAAUGAUGUUCUAGAUAAAUGUAAUUUAAAUUAACCAAGACGCACAAGAUUUAUAAAUCUUACAUAUUUAAAUCUAUAAUCAAUGUUUUGACACCGUCCCCAA